Molecule: ribosomal RNA, 325 nt
Filed under: uncultured bacterium
Lineage: Bacteria
Description: bacterial SSU rRNA
Rfam family: Bacterial small subunit ribosomal RNA
Source: RNAcentral
GGGCCAAGCCUGAUGCAGCGACGCCGCGUGAGGGAUGACGGCCUUCGGGUUGUAAACCUCUUUUAUCAGGGAGCAAGCGUGAUGUGACUUUACCCGUAGAAUAAGCACCGGCUAACUACGUGCCAGCAGCCGCGGUAAUACGUAGGGUGCAAGCGUUAUCCGGAAUUAUUGGGCGUAAAGGGCUCGUAGGCGGUUCGUCGCGUCCGGUGUGAAAGUCCAUCGCUUAACGGUGGAUCCGCGCCGGGUACGGGCGGGCUUGAGUGCGGUAGGGGAGACUGGAAUUCCCGGUGUAACGGUGGAAUGUGUAGAUAUCGGGAAGAACACC